This 23-nucleotide small nuclear RNA is filed under the name Arabidopsis thaliana (thale cress). RNAcentral's name for it is "snRNA_13747". Lineage: Eukaryota; Viridiplantae; Streptophyta; Magnoliopsida; Brassicales; Brassicaceae. The record is from RNAcentral.
UGGAAACCAAUAGAGGAGCCUCG